UGGGCCGUUAGCUCAGUUGGUAGAGCAGCUGACUCUUAAUCAGCGGGUCGCGGGUUCGAGCCCCUCACGGCCCAUUGG
This 78-nucleotide transfer RNA is filed under the name Enterococcus faecium PC4.1. RNAcentral's name for it is "tRNA-Lys". It matches the Rfam family "tRNA". From Rfam's summary of the family: Transfer RNA (tRNA) molecules are approximately 80 nucleotides in length. Their secondary structure includes four short double-helical elements and three loops (D, anti-codon, and T loops). Further hydrogen bonds mediate the characteristic L-shaped molecular structure. tRNAs have two regions of fundamental functional importance: the anti-codon, which is responsible for specific mRNA codon recognition, and the 3' end, to which the tRNAs corresponding amino acid is attached (by aminoacyl-tRNA synthetases). tRNAs cope with the degeneracy of the genetic code in two manners: having more than one tRNA (with a specific anti-codon) for a particular amino acid; and 'wobble' base-pairing, i.e. permitting non-standard base-pairing at the 3rd anti-codon position. Lineage: Bacteria; Bacillati; Bacillota; Bacilli; Lactobacillales; Enterococcaceae. The record is from RNAcentral.